Molecule: ribosomal RNA, 1346 nt
Filed under: uncultured bacterium
Lineage: Bacteria
Description: partial 16S ribosomal RNA
Rfam family: Bacterial small subunit ribosomal RNA
Source: RNAcentral
GACGAACGCUGACGGCGUGCUUAACACAUGCAAGUCGAACGGAAAGGCCCUGCUUUUGUGGGGUGCUCGAGUGGCGAACGGGUGAGUAACACGUGAGUAACCUGCCCUUGACUUUGGGAUAACUUCAGGAAACUGGGGCUAAUACCGGAUAGGAGCUCCUGCUGCAUGGUGGGGGUUGGAAAGUUUCGGCGGUUGGGGAUGGACUCGCGGCUUAUCAGCUUGUUGGUGGGGUAGUGGCUUACCAAGGCUUUGACGGGUAGCCGGCCUGAGAGGGUGACCGGCCACAUUGGGACUGAGAUACGGCCCAGACUCCUACGGGAGGCAGCAGUGGGGAAUAUUGCACAAUGGGCGGAAGCCUGAUGCAGCAACGCCGCGUGCGGGAUGACGGCCUUCGGGUUGUAAACCGCUUUCGCCUGUGACGAAGCGUGAGUGACGGUAAUGGGUAAAGAAGCACCGGCUAACUACGUGCCAGCAGCCGCGGUGAUACGUAGGGUGCGAGCGUUGUCCGGAUUUAUUGGGCGUAAAGGGCUCGUAGGUGGUUGAUCGCGUCGGAAGUGUAAUCUUGGGGCUUAACCCUGAGCGUGCUUUCGAUACGGGUUGACUUGAGGAAGGUAGGGGAGAAUGGAAUUCCUGGUGGAGCGGUGGAAUGCGCAGAUAUCAGGAGGAACACCAGUGGCGAAGGCGGUUCUCUGGGCCUUUCCUGACGCUGAGGAGCGAAAGCGUGGGGAGCGAACAGGCUUAGAUACCCUGGUAGUCCACGCUGUAAACGGUGGGUACUAGGUGUGGGGUCCAUUCCACGGGUUCCGUGCCGUAGCUAACGCUUUAAGUACCCCGCCUGGGGAGUACGGCCGCAAGGCUAAAACUCAAAGGAAUUGACGGGGCCCCGCACAAGCGGCGGAGCAUGCGGAUUAAUUCGAUGCAACGCGUAGAACCUUACCUGGGUUUGACAUGGAUCGGGAGUGCUCAGAGAUGGGUGUGCCUCUUUUGGGGUCGGUUCACAGGUGGUGCAUGCCUGUCGUCAGCUCGUGUCGUGAGAUGUUGGGUUAAGUCCCGCAACGAGCGCAACCCUUGUUCACUGUUGCCAGCACGUUAUGGUGGGGACUCAGUGGAGACCGCCGGGGUCAACUCGGAGGAAGGUGGGGAUGACGUCAAGUCAUCAUGCCCCUUAUGUCCAGGGCUUCACGCAUGCUACAAUGGCUGGUACAGAGAGUGGCGAGCCUGUGAGGGUGAGCGAAUCUCGGAAAGCCGGUCUCAGUUCGGAUUGGGGUCUGCAACUCGACCUCAUGAAGUCGGAGUCGCUAGUAAUCGCAGAUCAGCAACGCUGCGGUGAAUACGUUCCCGGGGCU